Molecule: small RNA, 517 nt
Filed under: Vigna angularis var. angularis
Lineage: Eukaryota; Viridiplantae; Streptophyta; Magnoliopsida; Fabales; Fabaceae
Description: Non-protein coding transcript
Source: RNAcentral
GGAGGUUCAGGGAGCUGCGGUGGACGCCAAUUUGGUUCGCGUGGUGGAGAUUUGGUGCGUCACGGUGCUGCAAUGGUUCAACAUCUGGUUCCAUGGUGACGCGUUUCGAGAAGAUGGAGAUCCAGUGGUUUCUGGUGGGUAAAGGCGCUGUGGUGCUCGCGGCACGGUGCAGGAACGCUGCAGUGGCUCGACGUUGACGCUGCUGUGGUGGUUCACCGGCGAGAUGCGUGGUGGUUCAAAAGGGGGGUGCGGAGGUUGCUUCGAUGAACGAACCUAGUGAGAGUGUUGAAAGUGACGAUGACGUGGCGACAUGUGAUUGGUUCAAAUGAAUGUGUUAGGAUCACCAUGUGGUAUCAGGACACGUGAUCUAAUCUGAGUUUGUGAGGUGAAAAUAGGUAAAUAUAGAGUUUGAAGUGGAUUUCAUGUGAUCCAUCUAAAGGAGAGUGUAUAAGUAAAGUAAAGGUUUUUAAAACAGAUUUUUUUUUUCUUUCAAAAUUUAUUGAUUUUUUGUUUUAUU